This 627-nucleotide long non-coding RNA is filed under the name Helianthus annuus (common sunflower). RNAcentral's name for it is "sRNA HanXRQr2_Chr17g0828941". Lineage: Eukaryota; Viridiplantae; Streptophyta; Magnoliopsida; Asterales; Asteraceae. The record is from RNAcentral.
CCAUAUUUACGAGUCAUGCGAGCGCUAUAAAACCGAACCAUCACCACGGUUCUAUUCGACAUCCCGACACCCUUCCCCACUCUCGAACAUACCUUCUGAAUAAGCAAACAAGCACCACUCGAAACUCUGUUGAGUCGUGUAACCUGCAACAAGAUAGACGCCGCCGGAAUCCAUUCGGGUUCACAACAUAGUUUGCUCAAUCUUACACCCACGCCGGGACCUCACCACUUGCCGGAGUUACGAAGACGACUCGGAGAUCACACCGGGGACUCGGCUCGACUCGCUACCACCCGUAACCCGCAAUCUUUUACAUUCCGGUAUAUGAUUCCUAAUGAACGUAUGUAAACAAGGAACGUGAAGACGACACCGAAACGCAAAAGCCAUACUUGCUCAGUCGCAGCCACCGGAGAACCAACCUCAUCGGAGAAACUCAUCGGAGAAGUCGAGAACAUCAGAAAGCCUCCACCUCGUUCUUGUUUCGAUUCGGAUAAUUGCUCUCGUUUGUUCACUUGGAUUAUUCUCCAUCUUUACUCGUACGUUACUUACAAGAAAUCGCAACGCAAUCAAUGUUGAUAGACGAAGUUAUCAAGAAAACAAGCUAGGAUGGCUUUAGAUACCCAUUUUAGC